UGGGGAAUAUUGCACAAUGGGCGCAAGCCUGAUGCAGCCAUGCCGCGUGUGUGAAGAAGGCCUUCGGGUUGUAAAGCACUUUCAGCGAGGAGGAAGGUGGUGAGCUUAAUACGCUCAUCAAUUGACGUUACUCGCAGAAGAAGCACCGGCUAACUCCGUGCCAGCAGCCGCGGUAAUACGGAGGGUGCAAGCGUUAAUCGGAAUUACUGGGCGUAAAGCGCACGCAGGCGGUUUGUUAAGUCAGAUGUGAAAUCCCCGGGCUCAACCUGGGAACUGCAUUUGAAACUGGCAAGCUAGAGUCUCGUAGAGGGGGGUAGAAUUCCAGGUGUAGCGGUGAAAUGCGUAGAGAUCUGGAGGAAUACCGGUGGCGAAGGCGGCCCCCCUGGACGAAGACUGACGCUCAGGUGCGAAAGCGUGGGGCAGCAAACAGGAUUAGAUACCCUGGUAGUCCACGCUGUAAACGAUGUCGAUUUGGAGGUUGUGCCCUUGAGGCGUGGCUUCCGGAGCUAACGCGUUAAAGUCGACCG
This 527-nucleotide ribosomal RNA is filed under the name uncultured bacterium. Its description in RNAcentral is "partial 16S ribosomal RNA". It matches the Rfam family "Bacterial small subunit ribosomal RNA", at positions 355 to 871 of the family's 1533-position model. The record is from RNAcentral.